Molecule: long non-coding RNA, 1472 nt
Filed under: Phocoena sinus (vaquita)
Lineage: Eukaryota; Metazoa; Chordata; Mammalia; Artiodactyla; Phocoenidae
Description: lncRNA (ENSPSNG00000006291.1)
Source: RNAcentral
AACCAAGGGAAUUCUCUGCAUUUGUCAGUACUACCUGUCGUCAUUGUGGUUAAAUGUAGAGAGAACUGCUGGGCAAGAUGGUGAAUGGAGAAAAAAAAAAAAGAGUUUUAAAGAAAGGAACACAAAUUGUGCUUAAAAUCCCCACGUGGGUUUUAUUUCUUAAAAUACUGUGAUUUUUUUAAUUAUUUUAGUAAAAAACAAAACAAAAAAAGAAACAGACUUUAAUUAUUAGACAAAUGUUUGUGAAUUAUCCUUUAUUCCAGGUAAGCUGUUUUUUAGUGUUCAACUAUAAUUUAGAAUUGGUAGAUUUCGUGUGAGCUAAUUUUAAGGUGACUGUGGAGUUUUGUUUGCCACACGUUUAUCUUCUGUCAGUUUGAGUGUUACAAACACAGCACAAUUCAGUUUUUCAUAUAAAUUGUUUUUUGUGUGUGUGUUAUUGUUGUUUUGAUUUGGGGGCAAGGGAGAUUUAGUUUUUCGUGAAUAGGAACGUUUUUAUUUUAAACAUGGAAAUAACAAAGAACUUUUUUUUUUUUUUUUAAUUUAACUAAAGAACCAAACUUUUCGGCACAGCUAUGCAGCUUGUGGGCCAGACGAGGAAGUCCUCUUCACCCUUUUGUUGCUGUCAAAUUUUACACAUUAUCUGUCUCACACAAAUAAUUUCUGUUAGGAUGGGCUGGCUUUUGUGUGUGAUUUUAAAUCUGUGUUCUGUUUUUGUUUGCAUUGUGUUUUUUGGGGGGUGGGGGGAUUCUCAUUUACUUUGCGGGACAAGGGGAUGUGCUCAAAUCCCAUCCCUUUGGUGAGAGUGUUCACGAAAUACUUAUAUCCUACAAGGAGCCUGGAGAACUACUUUUUUUUUUUUCUUUAAUCUAGCUGCCAGCUGCUCUGUUUCCCCAUAUUAGCUUUUUCAGGAGGGAGCAGCUUAGACUAAAUCUAAGUCUACAUUUAUAAUACGUUCUGAUUGUGAACAAAGGGUUUCGUUCCAAAAAGUAGAACUUUCCUUGAAUCUUAGGUUUUAGAAGCCUGUGUGCGUGUGAGCUUGGAUGUGUGCGUGAGCAUGUGUGUGUAUGUGUGUGAGUCCUUUGGUUUUCAUGUUUUGUUUUUUUUUUUUUUUUUAACUUGGAAGGGUUGGGGGAGGGGGGGAGAAAGGGAAGGGGAAUUGCUGAGAUGACAGUGUCCCACACAGCUUCAAAUAAAAUCCAUGGAAAGAUAUUGCAUUUGUGGAAUAAGUGCUUACUUGAAAAGCAUGUUGUUCUUUUACUUUCUUGCUGUUAAGAAUUUUUAUUUGUAGGGCGUUUGUUUUAAUUUAAUUUUUCUUUUUUAGGGAUGGGGGCCAUCAUGUGGAAACCAGAAAAAGGGAAAGUGUGAACUAUCUAGACAAAGAUUCAUUUUGUGUCCAUAUUUGUUUUUAAUUGGCCUCAUUUCAAAUGUACUAAACAGUUCCAUACCUGGAUUGGGUGUUUGUAAUGGUUACC